Molecule: long non-coding RNA, 246 nt
Organism: Sinocyclocheilus rhinocerous
Lineage: Eukaryota; Metazoa; Chordata; Actinopteri; Cypriniformes; Cyprinidae
Exons: 3
Source: RefSeq, a predicted model, not a curated record
CAGCUCUGAUCUGCUUCAUUCACAUUCACUGUGCUGUUCAGUAAGUCAGUGCUGGUGAUGAACAUCAUGAUUCUUGUCUGGACUCUCAGCUCUCUCAUCCUCAGCUAUGCUCUUGGGUUUCCCUUUCUUAAUAGCACAAGCCAUGGAUCUUACAUGUUUCCCAAUGUCACAGACAGGAACAUCACAGGGUAUAAUAAUAAUACCAAUCAGACCAGUCACCGAUUCCAGUCAGAACAGUUUCCCGCG